Molecule: ribosomal RNA, 6093 nt
Organism: Clonorchis sinensis
Lineage: Eukaryota; Metazoa; Platyhelminthes; Trematoda; Opisthorchiida; Opisthorchiidae
Rfam family: Eukaryotic large subunit ribosomal RNA
Source: Rfam
UGACCUCAAAUCAGACGCGAUUUCCCGCUGAACUUAAGCGUAUCACCAAGCGGAGGAAAGGAAACUAGCAAAGAUUCCCUCAGUAUCGGCGAAUGAACAGGGAAGAGCCCAGUGCCGAGGCCUGUGGCCAAUAGGUCACUAGGCAAUGUGGCGGUCAGGUCGUUCCGCGGAGCUGCUGCUCCAUUCCAGGUCCAGCAAUGGGUAACGUAGUGCUGACAUGACCUGUUGAGGUGGAGAGGCAGAAAUGACGGUAUUUUCCUGGAUAGACCUUUGAGUCGGGUUGUUUGUGAAUGCAGCUCAAAGUGGGUGGUAAACUGCAUCCAAGACUAAAUACUUGCACGAGUCGGAUAGCGAACGAGUAACGCGAUGGAAAGUUUAAAAGGACUUUGAAGAGGGAGUAAACUAUGUGUGAAACCUCUCAAGCGUAAACGGGUGAAGUUGAACUGUGAGCUCUGUGGAUUUAGCUGGUGAGUGUGGUUUGGGCUUGGUAAAGUUGGUUCAUGCUAGGCGUAUGCGUGGCAGCAGGUCUCCAUCUUCGGGUGGAGAUGGGCGAUGCACUUGUCAAGUGCUACGCGCUUCGAGUUUAUUCGGGUCAGCUUGCCAGUGCACUUUCGCAGAGUGGUCACCACGACCGGCAUCGCUGUCCUGCUUUGUGGUUAAAUUGGUCUUGCAUUGUCCUUGUGGCUUUGUCUAGUCGGAAUGGCUUACUUGUGGCUCCCUAUAGGCGUUCGGUCAUCGGAUGUAAUCACCUCACCAUAUCGGUUAUGUGCAGUACGUCGGAGACAGCGGCUUGUGGUGUGUGCGUACCAGUCGGUCGGCGUGUUCGGGUUCGGUUAUCUACCUGUGUUCACAGGCCCAAUGAUAUUUCGGAUUCGUUCCGUCAGCGGUUGCGUGCGUGUCACUGUUUCCAGGGCCAAUAGCUUGUAGGGUUGCGGUAGACUAUCAACCCAACCUGUCUUGAAACAAGGACCAAGAAGAGUAACAUGUGCGCAAGUCAUUGGCCGUGACGAAACCCAAACGCGAAGUGAAAAUAAAGGUUUGGCUUGUCUGGACAGAAGUGAGAUCCUGUGUGCUUCAUUUGUGGUAUCACCAAGCAUCGACCGGCAGGAGCAUCACUGGCCUGUCCAAUGGUUUGAUUACCCUAUUCAAAGUUUGUCAUCGGAGCGGAGUAUAAGCGUACAUGUUGAGGCCAAAAGACGGUGAACUCCGUUUGCGCAGGUUGAAGCUAGAGGAAACUGGUGGCACUGGAGCUUCGGAUCUAUACCGGACCGUCACUGCAAGCUGAGUCAGUAGUAUGUGGUGUGAGUACAAGCCACAAGACUCAGGCACGGAGUUUGGAUGUCAAGUAGGAGGGUCGCCGUGGUGAGCAGGAAUUUCAGGCGUUAGCCUGAGCGGAACCGUCAUGGAUGCCGAUUUUGGUGGUGGUGGUGGUAGCUAAUAUUCAAAUGAGACGUCCGAUGUAGAGAAGGGUCCCGUGGGAACAGCGGUUGGCCAUGGGUCAGGCGGUCCUAAGUGAUCCUUUAACUCGGAAAAGAGACGGGGUGUCUGGUAUUGUCAGGAUUGCUGCUGAUGUACCGUUGCGGGGCAGCCCCCUGUAGCAAAAAGGAAUCAGGUUACUAUUCCCGCGGAAAUUGGUGCGUUCUGUUCUCGCACGGGUUUGCAUGUAGCACGGUAACGCAGCCGACCGUGGUGACGUCUGCAAGAGUUCUCUUCAUUAGGAGUGCGUCAUCCCCUGGAGUCGGGUUGUCCGGAGAUAGGGGACUAGCCUCCAUAAAGCACCACAUUUCUUGUGGUGUCUGGAACGCUCUUGUCGACCCUUGAAAAUCCGAGCGAGGCAACGUAAGUUUCGUGGCAGGUCGCCAAUUUCAAUUUACCAGCCAUAAACCAUGUGCCCUAGGCACAUUGGUCCCAGCCGCUACAGUUUCGAUCACCGGAAAACGGGAGGGUGUGGGACAUGCAUCCAAGCCUUGGAGGCGAUGGCAUGUUAAGUUUAUUCGGAAACUGAGUAGCUACGCAUCGAAGCCGUCAUGAAGAGACGGCCUUACCGUGGUGUGACGGUUUGCGCACCUCAGCGACCCAUUGAGCUAUACUGGGGGUGUCCCCGCGACAAAGAUGGGGAUGAAGUUCUCAGUCAGCGCUUGUCUAAUCUUUCUGCUUGCAUCUGUGCAAAGGAAUCUGUUCCAUAAAACUGGGGAGAGUCGGUGGUAGUGCCGAUUUUCAAAAAAGGGUUCCUAAUGAGUGUGGUGACCUCAGGGAGAUCAGCUUGACCCGUCGUAACGAGACUGUUGGCGUCACUUGUGCUUCCUCGUCUUACGUGAGAGACAUCGACUCGAGAGCAGCAAGUGGGAUUUCGGCCUGGUAGCGGUUGAGUUGACCAAAUUUUCACACUCAGUUGCUAGAACAAUGCCAUAUGUAUAAGCGACCCACAAUUAUAGUACUGGAUUUCCAAGGCGCAUUUGACUCAGUUGACCGGCCUGUUCUGCUUGACACGCUUGCCCACCAAGGAAUGCCCCGGAAGUUUGUGAACUUAAUAAGCUCUUUGUAUUAUCGGGCUUCCGGACGUGAGAGUAUACAGCGAGCUCUCAGGGAUCCCCACUCUCUCCACUCCUAUUUAAUUUCGUGAUCGAUGAAAUCACGGGAGGAACGCUGGAAGGUCUCCAAAACCCCGGUGUUCAAAUAGCCUGUGACGAAAAGCUUGUCGAUCUGGAAUAUGCAGACGACGUCGUUCUCAUCUCCAAAGAGGAGGAGAAGGCAGAAGUGUUUUUAGAUGAACUGACCAAAGUCAUCCCGUUCUUUGGUAUGCACUUCACACCCACAAAGUAUAAGGUCAUGCUCGUGGACAUGCAGUCACUGAAGACGCCACGUACAAUCCACGGAGAGGCACUGGAAGUUGUGGAGCGUUUUACGUAUCUUGGAAGUUGUAUGAGUUUUGAUUGUAGUGCACGAAUCUGCAAGGCCCGGGUCGCGUCUGCUAAUUUGAGACAUGUAUGGCGUCAGAGUGGUGUAUCCCUGAAUCUCAAGGGACGUGUGCAUCAAGCUGCAGUGCGGGCUGUUUUGUUGUAUGGCUGUGAGACUUGGCCUGUUCGAGCAGCGGAACUGAGACGUCUUCAGGUGUUCGACAAUCGUUGUCUCAGAACCAUAGUUCGUGUGGGUUGGUGUCGGCGUAUCCGUGACGAGGCAAUUAGAAAGCGAGUUUUCGGUUGUGCAACGGGUACUUCCAUUGAAGAAUGUGUCAAACACAUGGGACAUGUGUUGCGUAUGCCGAACCAUCUUUGCCGAAGGGAGUGUUGUUUCCCAUGCCCAAAUCAGAGUGGCGGAAGCAGAGAGGAGGUCAACCUUGAUCUGACAGAAGGGUAUGAAGGAGAUUACAAAACGUUUGGGUGCUGUCGGUGCUACUCGCCUUCCAGGAUGGGGACCGCGUGAUCCCCACUGUACCUGGCUGCAGACACUGCAAGAUAUGGCUGCCAACCGAUGUCAGUGGCGUUCUUGUUGUCAGUUUCUAUCCAGAUUGGCUGAAUGAGUGACUGGAGGUGUAGGCGCCUAGGAAUGAUUGUUGUAACCUAGCACCAAGUCCCUUCCCCGUCCACCUUUAUUCUUUUCUUCACAAUAAGGCUUUCAAACAAAACAUGGUUGUACGGUAGUGAAGCAUCGGUGUUGAACACUGAUGUAAUGCUGUCGAUGUUGAUUAUGAUGACGCAUUGCGAUAGCUCUGAUGCACACGCGCCACUGACUGCGCGAUUGGGCCAUUUCUGACAAUGCCAUGAACCAUGGGUGAGUUGACUCCGGUUCGAGAAGUAAUCCUAUCUCCAGCCAGUCCCCCGGAACUUAUACAGCUACCCAAGUAAACAGGUUUAUCUACUACGUUGAUUGGCUUGCCUGCAAGCAUGAGGUAUGGGUUUGAUCCCACCCAGUCUUGUGCAAGCACUUUAGAUUUGCAGGUGCGAAACGCAUGCGAAACGCGUACCAGAAUUAUUUAGGUUAUCUGGUAUUUGAUCAGGUGGCUGUUGGUCCGUUCGCCGAGCUUGGCAGUUGGUUUGUAAACGUUUCAUCACCAUUCGAGGAGACAUCUUCAAUGCGCUGUUGGGUGAAGAUGUCUCCUCGAUUGGUGACGAAACGUUUGCAAAUCAAUUGCCAAGCUCGGCGAACAGACCAACAGCCACUUUAUCAAAUACCAACUAAUGCACGCGAGCUACCAGUAUUUCAACACAUUAUUUAGGUUAUUUAAAAUCGUCUGCAUACUCACUGUCUGUGAGCGAAAUUUCUAGAAGCAUUUCGACUCCCGAGGUUUCAGAGAUAGGCAGAGAAAUUUCAAGCAGCAUAUCAAUAACAUACUUGAAGAGGAAAGGUGGCAGGUCGUACCCAUAUCUGAGUCAAGUCUCCAGGGUGAACAGCCUCUGGUAAUUGAACAACUUAGUUAAGGGAAGUUGGCAAACUGGGUCCGUAACUUCGGGAAAACGAUUCGCUCUGACGGCCGAGUCAAAUGGGCUGGAGUCAGAUACGUGUUGGCGCAGUUGGGGGCUGGUUUUUUUGUUGCUGCGCCCGCUUCAGUGCAGUUCCAGCUGUAGUUCUGCUUUGCUGGCAGCGUGCAUGGGCAACUGUAUGCGUGUCGACAGUUUUGCUUCCUUCGUUUGGCGCUCAACGGCUAGCUCAGAACUGGCGCGGACCAGAGGAAUUCGACUGUCUAAUUACAGCCAAACACUGUGAUGUCUGCUGACCGGUUUUGACGCAGUGUGAUUUCUACCCAGUGCUCUGAAUGUCAAUGUGAGGAAAUUCAAUGAAGCGCGAGUAAACGGCGGGAGUAACUAUGACUCUCUUAAGGUAGCCAAAUGCCUCGCCAUCUAAUUAGUGACGCCCAUGAAUGGAUUAACGAGCUUCCUACUGUCCCUAUCUACUAUCUAGCAAAACCACAGCCAAGGAAGCGGGCUUGGCAGAAUUAGCGGGGAAAGAAGACCUUGUGAGGAGACAUGACGGGUGUAGAAUAAGUGGGAGAUGGGCUUCGGCUUGUCGCCAGUAAAAUACCACUGCGGUCAUCGUUUCUUUGCUUAUUCAAUAAAACGGGAACAAUAUUUGGGUCCUAAACACAUCCCAGCAUGCGUUGUUUCGCUGCGGUGUCGGUAUCUUGGUCAUGCCAGAUGAGUCGUGACUUCGGUCGCGGCGCUUGAGUCUGGAUGCGAGGUGCGACCCGUUCUGACUGAGGCGGUACACCUCUCUAAUGGUAACGCAGGUGUGCCAAGGUGAGCUCAGCCAGGACGGAAAACUGGCUUGGAGUAAAAUGACAAAAACUUACUUGAUUUUGAUAUUCGGAAUUUGAAACAAGAGGUGUCAAAAAGGUCACUACAGGGAUAACUGUGACCAAACCUUCAUAGCGACGUUUUUCUGAUCCUUCGAUGUCGGCUCUCCCUAGCGUUGUGGCUCAGGAUUCAUCAAGUGUGUGAUUGUCACCCAGUAAUAGGGGAAGUGAGCUGGGUUUAGACCGCCGUGAGACAGGUUAGCUUUGCGCUACUAAUCAGUGCAAUGACUCCGUGUAGUACAAACUGGUCGUUGCUAUUGUAAUCCUGUUUAAUACAAAAGGAACCACAGGUUCAGACAUUUGGUAUAUGUGCCUGGCCGAAAGGCCAAUUUUGCGAAGUUAUCAUCUGAGGGAUUAGGACUGAAUGCCUCCAAGUCUGAAUCUCGUGGCAAGCCUUGCUUACGUUUUUCUUUUGGCGCUUGGCCCAGACUAUGUAUCUGGCCUGGUCCAUUAGGUCUGGUAUAAUGCCAGAGCGGUUAUCGGAACCGUAUACCAGACCUCGGUGUGCGAAGGAGGACACGAUAUCUAAAUGCAGAAUGAGCGUGAAGGCACUUAAUCUUCAAUAGACGACUUAAUUGGUCGUUAGUUUAUUCGCUGAGCUGGGCAAUUUGAUUGCAAACGUUUCAUCACCAAUCGAGGUGACAUCAUCGGUGCGUUGGUAGGGAGCGACCAUCUAUACUACCUGAGCUACCAACAUUCUCCUCUAUAGCAGACGACUUAAUUUUUUGUCCGAGAGGCGUACGCGUCCGAGGAUCUAUCACACUGCGAGACCUUGAGCUCCGACCCUAUAUGAUAUGAUGAUU